Molecule: long non-coding RNA, 599 nt
Filed under: Nicotiana benthamiana
Lineage: Eukaryota; Viridiplantae; Streptophyta; Magnoliopsida; Solanales; Solanaceae
Description: long non-coding RNA (NBEN_LNC021928)
Source: RNAcentral
AUUCCUCAGCUUAAUAAAUUUUACUUGAUUGCACCACUUUCAGGUUUUCUUCCAAAAUAUCAUAACAAAUCCGAGAGCUGUGUUUGACAGAAUGGAAAAAUUUUGAUGAAUUAGUAAGGCAUGAUAUUCUUCACUCUCUUGAUUAAAAAGAAUGAUUCAUCCUAGUGCUUGAAGUUUCAUUUCCAGUAGAAACUAGAAAGACAUAAACUUGGUGGUAUGUUAGAAUGAUGUAUUUAUCUCUUUGCCCUUAAUGACAUUCCAUUAUUUUCCCAGGAUAUGAAAUAAUGUUUUUCUCAUUGUCAAACAUAUAGCUUUAUCUUAAAUCUACAUAUAGAAGUUAUAUUCCAAAAGAAAAAAAGAAAUAGAAAAGAGCAGAUAAGCAUCCAAAGUCUAAGAAAAUAAGUAUACUUCCAUUGCCAGGAUUUUAUCAGUAACACAGCAAAAGCAUGAAUCCAUUUUCAUGCUAAUUCUUCUUUUGUUUUGCAUUUCUGUAUUUGCUUUUAGCCUAAAGCGUGGGACGAAUAUUGACCUUGUCAUUCGGAGCUUGAUAAGCAUGAAGAUAUGUUGUACUCCUGGUGAUAUGCAGUACAAUACAAAGG